RNAcentral lists this ribosomal RNA (486 nucleotides) under Nematoda environmental sample. Its description in RNAcentral is "SSU rRNA". It matches the Rfam family "Eukaryotic small subunit ribosomal RNA", at positions 107 to 590 of the family's 1831-position model. The record is from RNAcentral. Lineage: Eukaryota; Metazoa; Nematoda.
CAGCUAUAAUUUACUUGAUCUUGACACAAUCCUACUUGGAUAACUGUGGUAAUUCUAGAGCUAAUACAUGCAUUAAAGCUCUGACCUCACGGGAAGAGUGCAUUUAUUAGAACAAAACCAAGCGGCUUCGGCUGUUUUCGGUUGACUCAUAGUAACUGAGCUGAUCGCAUGGUCUUGCACCGGCGACGUGUCUUUCAAGUAUCUGCCGUAUCAACUUUCGAUGGUAGUGUAUCUGACUACCAUGGUGAUCACGCGUAACGGAGAAUAAGGGUUCGGCUCCGGAGAGUUCGCCUGAGAAAUCGCGAACACAUCUAAGGAAGGCAGCAGGCGCGAAAAUUACCCACUCUCAGCACGAGGAGGUAGUGACGAAAAAUAACGAGACCGUUCUCUUAUGAGGCCGGUCAUCGGAAUGGGUACAAUUUAAACCCUUUAACGAGUAUCUAUGAGAGGGCAAGUCUGGUGCCAGCAGCCGCGGUAAUUCCAGCU